RNAcentral lists this unclassified non-coding RNA (341 nucleotides) under soil metagenome. Its description in RNAcentral is "partial contains 5.8S ribosomal RNA, internal transcribed spacer 2, and large subunit ribosomal RNA". The stretch from base 1 to 120 matches the Rfam family "5.8S ribosomal RNA", at positions 35 to 154 of the family's 154-position model. The record is from RNAcentral.
GAUGAAGAACGUAGCGAAACGCGAUAGGUAAUGUGAAUUGCAGAAUUCAGUGAAUCAUCGAAUCUUUGAACGCACAUUGCGCCCUUUGGUAUUCCAAAGGGCAUGCCUGUUCGAGCGUCAUUUGUACCCUCAAGCUUUGCUUGGUGUUGGGCGUCUUGUCUCUAGCUUUGCUGGAGACUCGCCUUAAAGUAAUUGGCAGCCGGCCUACUGGUUUCGGAGCGCAGCACAAGUCGCACUCUCUAUCAGCAAAGGUCUAGCAUCCAUUAAGCCUUUUUUUCAACUUUUGACCUCGGAUCAGGUAGGGAUACCCGCUGAACUUAAGCAUAUCAAUAAGCGGAGGA